AUAUUUGUAGAUUGGUUAGCGCGUCCGACUGUUAUGAAAUCGGGAGGUUGACAGUUCAAUCCUGUCCGGGGAAG
This is a non-coding RNA of Lepidopterella palustris CBS 459.81, 74 nucleotides long. The record is from the annotation of a GenBank genome assembly. NCBI's taxonomy places the organism in Eukaryota, Fungi, Ascomycota, Dothideomycetes, Mytilinidiales, Argynnaceae.